UAGUCCCUUUGGAUAAUUCGAUAAAACUGGAACAAUACAAAAAAAUUAAUUAACAUGGUCCAUGUGCAAGGAUGACACAUAUAAAUCGAGAAAUACUCCAAUUUUCU
Molecule: non-coding RNA, 107 nt
Organism: Nicotiana sylvestris (wood tobacco)
Lineage: Eukaryota; Viridiplantae; Streptophyta; Magnoliopsida; Solanales; Solanaceae
Source: Rfam